Long non-coding RNA from Vidua chalybeata, 289 nucleotides. RefSeq lists it as uncharacterized. The transcript has 2 exons. NCBI's taxonomy places the organism in Eukaryota, Metazoa, Chordata, Aves, Passeriformes, Viduidae. The record is from RefSeq and is a predicted model, not a curated record.
ACACGAUCCCCGGGCCUCUGACCGCCGGCAACCCGCCCGGGGCGCUGGAACUGCUGCUCCAAGGGGGACCUGACCCCUCCUGGGCUCGCUGGACGUCUCGGCUAAAUCCAUUCGGACUGGGCCCCGAUUUCUGUCGCCCAAGCAGGUUGUGCGUGGCCGCAGAGCCGUGAGGGAAGAUCGGAGGAGUGAGGCAGAGGCUGGAAAAGGAAACAAAACCUCCAAAGGCUCCGCGGGGCUGGAGGGCUCCGAUGGCACCCCGGGGGUGGCAGGGAAAUAAAUUACGCCUUGA